RNAcentral lists this ribosomal RNA (898 nucleotides) under uncultured bacterium. RNAcentral describes it as "bacterial SSU rRNA". It matches the Rfam family "Bacterial small subunit ribosomal RNA", at positions 516 to 1427 of the family's 1533-position model. The record is from RNAcentral.
CGCGGUAAUACGUAGGUGGCAAGCGUUAUCCGGAAUUAUUGGGCGUAAAGGGUGCGUAGGCGGUUUAUUAAGUCUAUGGUGAAAGUGCGGGGCUCAACCCCGUAUGGCCAUAGAAACUGGUAGACUUGAGUGCAGGAGAGGGCAAUGGAAUUCCAUGUGUAGCGGUAAAAUGCGUAGAUAUAUGGAGGAACACCAGUGGCGAAGGCGGUUGCCUGGCCUGUAACUGACGCUGAAGCACGAAAGCGUGGGGAGCAAAUAGGAUUAGAUACCCUAGUAGUCCACGCCGUAAACGAUGAAUACUAAGUGUUGGAGAAAUUCAGUGCUGCAGUUAACGCAAUAAGUAUUCCGCCUGGGGAGUAUGCACGCAAGUGUGAAACUCAAAGGAAUUGACGGGACCCCGCACAAGCGGUGGAUUAUGUUGUUUAAUUCGACGCAACGCGAAGAACCUUACCAGGCCUUGACAUACUCAGCAAAGCCCUAGAGAUAGGGUGGAGGUUAUCUGGGAUACAGGUGGUGCAUGGUUGUCGUCAGCUCGUGUCGUGAGAUGUUGGGUUAAGUCCCGCAACGAGCGCAACCCUUGUCUUUAGUUACCAUCAUUCAGUUGGGGACUCUAGAGAGACUGCCGGUGAUAAACCGGAGGAAGGUGGGGAUGACGUCAAAUCAUCAUGCCCCUUAUGGCCUGGGCUACAAACGUAAUACAAUGGCGUAUACAAAGGGAUGCGAAAGGGCGACCUGGAGCAAAACUCAUAAAGUACGUCUCAGUUCAGAUUGGAGUCUGCAACUCGACUCCAUGAAGGCGGAAUCGCUAGUAAUCGCGGAUCAGCAUGCCGCGGUGAAUACGUUCUCGGGGUUUGUACACACCGCCCGUCAAACCAUGAGAGUUGGUAAUACCCGAAGC